GAGUUUGAUCAUGGCUCAGGAUGAACGCUGGCGGCGUGCUUAACACAUGCAAGUCGAACGAACCUUCGGGUUAGUGGCGGACGGGUGAGUAACGCGUGGGAAUCUGCCCUCAGGAGGGGGAUAACGGUUGGAAACGACCGCUAAUACCCCAUAUGCCGAGAGGUGAAAUGAAAUUCGCCUGAGGAUGAGCCCGCGUCUGAUUAGCUUGUUGGUGAGGUAAUGGCUCACCAAGGCAUCGAUCAGUAGCUGGUCUGAGAGGAUGAUCAGCCACACUGGGACUGAGACACGGCCCAGACUCCUACGGGAGGCAGCAGUGGGGAAUUUUCCGCAAUGGACGAAAGUCUGACGGAGCAACGCCGCGUGAGGGACGAAGGCCUCUGGGCUGUAAACCUCUUUUCUCAAGGAAGAAGAUAUGACGGUACUUGAGGAAUAAGCCACGGCUAAUUCCGUGCCAGCAGCCGCGGUAAUACGGGAGUGGCAAGCGUUAUCCGGAAUUAUAGGGCGUAAAGCGUCCGCAGGCGGCCUUUCAAGUCUGCUGUUAAAGCGUGGAGCUUAACUCCAUCAUGGCAGUGGAAACUGAUUGGCUUGAGUAUGGUAGGGGUAGAGGGAAUUCCCGGUGUAGCGGUGAAAUGCGUAGAUAUCGGGAAGAACACCAGUGGCGAAGGCGCUCUGCUGGGCCAUUACUGACGCUCAUGGACGAAAGCCAGGGGAGCGAAAGGGAUUAGAUACCCCUGUAGUCCUGGCCGUAAACGAUGAACACUAGGUGUCGGGGGAAUCGACCCCUUCGGUGUCGUAGCUAACGCGUUAAGUGUUCCGCCUGGGGAGUACGCACGCAAGUGUGAAACUCAAAGGAAUUGACGGGGGCCCGCACAAGCGGUGGAGUAUGUGGUUUAAUUCGAUGCAACGCGAAGAACCUUACCAGGGCUUGACAUCCUGCGAACCUUUAAGAAAUUAGAGGGUGCCUUCGGGAACGCAGUGACAGGUGGUGCAUGGCUGUCGUCAGCUCGUGUCGUGAGAUGUUGGGUUAAGUCCCGCAACGAGCGCAACCCACGCUUUUAGUUGCCAGCAUUUAGUUGGGCACUCUAGAAAGACCGCCGGUGAUAAACCGGAGGAAGGUGUGGAUGACGUCAAGUCAUCAUGCCCCUUACGUCCUGGGCUACACACGUACUACAAUGCUACGGACAAAGGGCAGCAAACUCGCGAGAGCUAGCAAAUCCCAUAAACCGUGGCUCAGUUCAGAUCGUAGGCUGCAACUCGCCUACGUGAAGUAGGAAUCGCUAGUAAUCGCAGGUCAGCAUACUGCGGUGAAUACGUUCCCGGGCCUUGUACACACCGCCCGUCACACCAUGGAAGUUGGCCACGCCCGAAGUCGUUACUUUAACCCUUGUGGAGAAGGACGCCGAAGGUGGGGCUGAUGACUGGGGUGAAGUCGUAACAAGGUAACC
This 1445-nucleotide ribosomal RNA is filed under the name uncultured marine cyanobacterium. RNAcentral describes it as "partial 16S ribosomal RNA". It matches the Rfam family "Bacterial small subunit ribosomal RNA". The record is from RNAcentral. Lineage: Bacteria; Bacillati; Cyanobacteriota.